GGGGGUGUUCCGGAUUCGACCCGGAGCCGUAGGGCCUGGCUGCAUGCCGGAGAUGAUGGUUGGCUCCGUAUCAAAUCCAUCAAAAUCAUAUAUGGCGAACAUGAAUACGCCAUGGCUGCCUAAUUAGCGCAGUCACGCAGAAGGGCUGAUACCUGUUAAGCCUGGAAGCGAUCAUCUAGCAGGCAUAGUCCGCUCCGGGCGUCCGGGAGAGGGCCGUACUCCAACAGGACUCUCGCCUCGUGAAAGCGCGCUUUAUCGCGUUCUCGAGGUUAAACUAAACAUAAAGCUAAGCAUGUAGACGCCUUGUCUGAAACCUCCGGACACGCGGGUUCGACUCCCGCCACCUCCACCA
RNAcentral lists this transfer-messenger RNA (352 nucleotides) under Opitutales. Its description in RNAcentral is "Ruficoccus sp019603315 Standard tmRNA". It matches the Rfam family "transfer-messenger RNA". Rfam says of the family: Bacterial tmRNA, also known as 10Sa RNA or SsrA, is named for its dual tRNA and mRNA-like properties. Its role is to liberate the mRNA from a stalled ribosome. The record is from RNAcentral. RNAcentral also lists the same sequence under 1 other name. Lineage: Bacteria; Pseudomonadati; Verrucomicrobiota; Opitutia.